GGAUAAAUGGUUACCACUUUCACGCAUAUGUGUUCAUGUCAGUUCGUUUUCUAGCAACGUCUUAAAGGAUUUGCAUCAUUAUGUGUUAGAUGAGUAUAACAUUGUUAAGGUUCUCUCAUCAAAUUUGCAUAUAACAAGAUUCGAAUUUGAGACUUUACGAAGAAACUACAUUGUAAAAAACAUCUGACCACAAAUCUAACAUAAUAGCCGGUCACUAAUCAACUUAGACUAUUGGGACUAGCCCAUUCCCACCAAAAAAAUUCGUGCGGAUCGCCCCGGGAACGCCCCACUUCGGCCCCGGGGGGCGUUCCGAAUGGUGAAAAAACGAGCCCCGUUGCAUUUUGAACGCGUCCAUUUAAUUGGAAUUUAGUGAGGUUUGACCUCGGGGACAUCAUCCAUCCGUCCACUUCCGAUUUCUUUUUUUUUUACUCAUUUCCUUUUCUAAAAUAUAUACAAAACACACACAACACAUAUAUAUUUUUACACCCUUUCUUCUCCAUCUCUCCCUCUAUUCUUCUUCAAAAAAUCAUACCUUUUUCAUCCAAAUCAACCGAAAAUGUUUCCCAAUCAGUGGGGUUUGAACCUUUUCUCCAAUCAAAACGCGGACAACAAUCAAAGAACACCCCUGCAACACAACUUCGAUGACCCGAAUCUUCACAAUAAUCCGGAUUUUAUUCAAUCACUUGGUACAAUGAACAUUGGAUCAUCGAUGACUCCCUCUGGACAUAGAACCCCGUGGAUUCGACAAGAUAACUUCGGUUUUGGACCUUCUCCGUCGGGUUUCGCUCAAACACCCGGCGCCAUGUUUGACUCACAACGGAUGGUUAAUACACCACCGGCAUCGAGCUCCUUUUAUGAAGAUGUGGAGGAGGUUCAGGAGACACAACCCGAAGUUAGUGUUUCGUCUCCGCAAAAAGAGAAAAGAAAACAUCGGAAGAAACAAACCGAGGCCCGAAGAAAAUCGCCUCUCAAGUAAACUGGUCGGAAGAGGAAAGUUUGGCGUUAUGUCGAUCUUGGGUCGAUGUAUCUGAGGACCCAAAAUGCGCAAAUUAUCAAAAGGUUCGGACCUUUUGGUUGAAGAUUCAAGAAGGAUAUCACAAAAUCUUGGAGAGACCGACUUACCGGGGUAUUGAAUCAUUACAGGGGAAGUGGCGGAAAAUUAGGACUAGUGUCACCAUGUUUAAUGGUAUUAUAACUAGGCUUAGUGGUUCGGGUUAUCAAAGUGGUAGUAGCCAAAAAGAUUUGAUUAGUAAUGUUGUUAGUGAAUACAAUGUUCAGUUUCCGAUUUUUAAGUUUUUGAAAGAAUGACAGUGUUUGAGGAGAAGUUCGAAGUGGGAGGUUAUUGAGAGUUGGGAGGCGAUGAGUAGUCCUGGUGAGCCGAGUUCAAAACGGUCGAAGACAACAUCAGAAAGUUCGGGUCAACAAAGUGUGGGGUCGUCUGCGAGGGUUGCAUUCGACCUUAAUGAUACUGAUGAGGGGGAACCGCAGCCAGAACUAUCUAGGUUAGGUCGUCCGGUUGGGAGGGAUACGACAAAAAAAUCCGACCGUGGGGGGGGGGGGGUUCACGGAAGGGGAAGACUGCGGCGUCGGUGGAUGUGGAGGCGUAUAACAUAGCAAUGGAGAUGCGGAGUUUACAAGAAGUUGGCAAGGCACGCCAAGAGAUCGAAUUGAAGAAGCUUGAACUUAAGUCGAAAAAACAACCAAGCAGAAAUAUGGACUUAUUGUUUAGGGACGUGUCUACUGUCCCGCCGGAAAAUCGACUAGCUUUGCUAGAGGAGCAGGCUAGAAUUCGUGCCGAGUAUGGAUUUCAGUAGUUUUAGUAUGUUUACUUUUCUCCUUUUCAUUCCUCCAUGUUUUAUUUAGUACUGUUAGUUUAAAUAUUAAGACGUUUUAUUUUUUAGUAAUUUUAGUAUGUAUUGUAUUAAGA
Molecule: long non-coding RNA, 1927 nt
Organism: Erigeron canadensis
Lineage: Eukaryota; Viridiplantae; Streptophyta; Magnoliopsida; Asterales; Asteraceae
Exons: 3
Source: RefSeq, a predicted model, not a curated record